GAUUUUUAUCACUAAAAAUCAUAACACCCGUGUCCAGAAACGCAAUUCCCCCAAAGUUCAGAAACCUAAUUCCCCUUCUUCUGCGUCCACCUUCUUCCACACCACCUCCUCCUUCUCCCUCUGCCGAAGCUUCCACGGCAGGCUGUGCUCUCGCCAGUGCAGCUGCAGAUUCUGGUCCCUCUGGACACGAAACGGUUCGUCGCCAUCAGCUAUUACUUCUGCCUCUGGAUCUGCAUGCUUCAAUUCAUUCACAGAUUUCAAGCUAUAUUAGGAAAAUUGCCAUAGAACUGGUUGAAGCUAAGGUCUAAUGUGCCGAGUUGCUAGAGUCCGGUGAGGUCUGGUAUUCUUCCAGCAUAUCCAUUCCUUGAAAGGCUCAGGGUUGACAUAGUCACAAGUAUUAUCAAAGUUCCAGUGGCAUCUAUUUAUACUAUCACAAGUAUUGGUGGAGUUUAAGACUCCCAGAAAAGCUAUUCAAGGUUUAAUGUUCUACUUUUUUAUUUAUUUUUUAUCACUGUUAAACUAUUGAGUUUUAUUUUAUCUUUAUCUUUAUCUUUAUUAUUUCUGUUAAAUUAUUAUGCAUGCUUAUCUAUACUUACUUAUGUAUGCUUGUUUGUGUAAACCAUUCAUAGUGAAAGUAUAAAUUAUAUUGAUGAU
Molecule: long non-coding RNA, 654 nt
Organism: Arachis duranensis
Lineage: Eukaryota; Viridiplantae; Streptophyta; Magnoliopsida; Fabales; Fabaceae
Exons: 3
Source: RefSeq, a predicted model, not a curated record